RNAcentral lists this ribosomal RNA (442 nucleotides) under uncultured bacterium. RNAcentral describes it as "partial 16S ribosomal RNA". It matches the Rfam family "Bacterial small subunit ribosomal RNA", at positions 338 to 795 of the family's 1533-position model. The record is from RNAcentral.
CCUACGGGAGGCAGCAGUGGGGAAUAUUGGGCAAUGGGCGCAAGCCUGACCCAGCAACGCCGCGUGAGUGAAGAAGGCUUUCGGGUUGUAAACUUCUUUUGUCAGGGAAGAGUAGAAGACGGUACCUGACGAAUAAGCCACGGCUAACUACGUGCCAGCAGCCGCGGUAAUACGUAGGUGGCAAGCGUUGUCCGGAUUUACUGGGUGUAAAGGGCGUGUAGCCGGGUUGACAAGUCAGAUGUGAAAUCCUGCGGCUUAACCGAAGAACUGCAUUUGAAACUGUUGAUCUUGAGUACUGGAGAGGCAGACGGAAUUCCUAGUGUAGCGGUGAAAUGCGUAGAUAUUAGGAGGAACACCAGUGGCGAAGGCGGUCUGCUGGACAGCAACUGACGGUGAGGCGCGAAAGCGUGGGGAGCAAACAGGAUUAGAUACCCCGGUAGUC